RNAcentral lists this long non-coding RNA (3097 nucleotides) under Orbicella faveolata. RNAcentral's name for it is "uncharacterized LOC110058010". Lineage: Eukaryota; Metazoa; Cnidaria; Anthozoa; Scleractinia; Merulinidae. The record is from RNAcentral.
UUCUGAUAUCUUAAUAAUGCGAUUUUUUAGUUCAAAAUUAAAGUGAUGCCUUCCGUAGUAGAGAUUCGUAAUUUUCAAUCAUGCUAAAGCAAAAAAAUAUGUUUGACAGUCAUUUCUUUAAUAUUGUCUAAUAGGAUCUCCCGCAAUGAAAACGUUAGACAAAUUUACGUUAUCAACCGCACAAAGUGCAUUUUUUUUACUGUUUGUAAACAUCAAUACCGGCCUUCAACCGCUGACUGGAAAGUAACGCGCGCAUGAAUAGGCGUUAACGAUAUUAGCCAAUGAAAUGAAAGGAAACUUUGUCGCCCUCUUUAUACGCAAUACAACAGGUGAAACGCUUCCUUUUGACACAUACUGCAGUUAACCUCACAGCAAGCCUUCAAAUACCCGUAACACCUCACGUAUCGGCCCUGGCGGGCUUGUACCGUGACAAGCACUUACUAAUUGUACUAACUGCAUGCAAGGGAAAUGAUGAUCGCAAACUUUGCUUUGUUUAACCAUUCAACCAAACAACCAGCACCAUCAGCCUUUCUGUACCUGGCUUAGGAUCUAGUCCUACAAGACUUCCUUCGCAAGCUUGGGACCUGGAGAAGACACCGCCUGAGUAGUAUGACAAACUCAGAGAAUACUGUGUGACAUCAGGAACCUUCCAGCUGUAUUUCAUCAAAGUGGACUCCACAAGCAUUCUCGUCCAUCUGCCAACCAGCUUGAGAUCUUCAGACGCAUCAAAAUGUUUCUUACUUGGCCUAACUACAGUCUUAAGCACUGAUUCAGUGGCUUGAUUGGACAAAAAUCAAGAAGCUUUGUUAGUAAUCAUCUACCAAGUCAAUGGAGACUUCAUAGAGACGAGUUCUGAAAAUCUACCUCAGUUUAUCAACACUAUUGGAAAAAUUGGAUCCAGCUACGACGUAUAAGAUCACCGUGAAUUUGAAAUACUUUGUUAUGAAAAACCAUACAUACAUUUCUCAUAUAUUGUAAAUGAAAAUUGUGUUAGAACUGUUUUUCUUCGCUGUUGGCCUGUAUUAGGAUAUAUUUUCCUUGCAAUUAACCCCGUACAGUAACCAGCUUGCACCUGAAGAUAACCAGUGAGCACAUAUUAUUUCUGACGUCACCGACUAAUAUCUAACAUACUUACCAAUGUGAUUUGAAAAUAACCCAUCACCUGAUGUGCUAACUGAAUAAUAUCAAACACGCUAAGUCGUUAUAAUUUGCCUUCAUAUAAGUUGUCCAUUCAGUAGUAUAGCCAAAAAAACCUUUAUUGCAGCUUUUCCAAGAAAAUAGCCCUUAAAAAUAACGUUGUCACAACCAACACAAAAAGAAAGUCCCAAGUCUAGUCGUAACAAUUUUUUUUCAGAAAACUAGUUUGUUCACUGAGAAUGAAAAUUAUCUAAUUUGUGUUCACUUGAGUAACGAAGAUAUUUGUCCUUGCAAACUUAGCUUACCGUAAUCAUUUAUCUAUUAUCAAGUAAUAUAUUUAUUUACUAACAAACAAUCUACAUUCACUUAUUCUUAUUAAUAUACUCGGACAGGUUAUACAAUAUCUAACCAGCUAACUUACUCUGAUACGCAACACUAACCCACUAACUUGCUUAUUUCAGUCUUCACUUUCAGCUAACCAACUGACAGCUGACAUCAUGCACUUGAUCGAGAUAGCACCCACUGAUUAAAGUGCCUGUCACCCUUGACAAAUCUCUACAUAACCGGACCCAGACAACAAAGAAACUAACAACUAACAUCCGCUCACUCAGUAACUAACAAAUCUCUCGCCAGCAACUAAAAUGAUCAUUUUUAAAAUCACUUCCGUCCUAACUAACCAACUAACUUACUCACCAAAUUCCUAAUUAACAAAUUUACAUAACGUUAAGUUUUUCAGUAACUGAAAAUAACUAACCAAGUAACAAACUAACCAGCUAACUAACUAACAUCUUACUUGUUAAGUAACUAAUCAACACAGAAAUUAAUUAGCAAAAUAAGCAACUUACUUUGUUACUUACAAGUUAACCAACUUUCUAACACAGUCGUCGGAAACUUUGAGGUCUAGUUUGCAUUAACUGACUGAUCAACCAACUAACUAAUCAAUUAACAUCUUACUCAUUUACUAACUAAUCAGCUCGCAAAUUAAUGAGCAAACGAGCUUAACCAUUUAACUUACUGAAAGUGAUAUUAUCAAAAAUAGAUAAUUCACCAGUUCUGAAGAGCUAUUACUGUAACGAACACUCUCAGUGGCUCACGAAAACUAAUAACACUACUCUCUAAUUAACAAAACACUUAGUAUUGAAGACCAAGAGAAUUGGUUCUUGCAAAACUGUUUUGCUCCAGUAAAACGCCGAACUAACUAACUAGUAAAGCAACCAAAAAAACGAACUAAUAAACUAACUCAGUCAGGAUUAACUAACUUCUUGACUAACUAAUGGACUAACUUACCAGCUUUACUAACAGGCCAGCUAACUGACUAAUGCGCUACUGACGUACUAACGUACUAACUGACCUACCAACGAAGCAAGCAAUGAAAUAAACUAAUUACGACUAACACACUUACUAACGAAAUUAACAAACUAACAAACAUUGUGAAGCCCGGCAUGUCUUACUGAAACAACUAACUGAACAUACUAACCUGUUGAUCUUGUUCUUAAGCCACAAGAAAAGUCCACAAGAAUAACUAACCAACCUACUAACCAACAACCUAACUUACUAAUUAUAUAGCGAGCUAACUAACCAAUCGGUUGCUAACAAAAAAGUCGAGUUCAUUUUGAUAACUACCAUGUUCCUAUUUCACCUUUAAUCCAUUUGCUUUCAUUGCUGUUAAUUUGUCUCAUCUAUAUGUCUAACCGACUGAUCCUUUAACCAAACCAUCGUACUAACCCAGUUUAAUUUCACACUUUGUAGCUCUCAGUAAUACUGUUUAGUACUUCGGAAAUGCCAAGCAACACUGUUAAAUUGUUAUUCUGCGAAUUCAAGUUAUCAUGUUUUUUUAACUGUAUUUUCAGCACUUUCCUCCCUAUUUUGAGAGUUUAAAUAACCAACAAUUAAUGUUAUUCUUUGAAGAUCUGUGUCAUGGAAGACAGCUAAAUAAAGGGAACAUUAAUAAUUGGUUCAA